UAUAAGGAAAUCAUUGACUAAAAAUAAAAACCGAAAUAUAGGGAAAAGCGAUCAUUGACUAGACAGGAGGCGAUAUUGGUAAAAACAUUCAAACCUAGCUCGGAAAGAUUGCUUAUUUAUUUAUUUAUUUUUGGGUAACAUAAUAUUGCUUAUUAUUACUCUAGAUAUAAGGAAAUCAUUUACUAAGAAGGAAAUUAUGGACUGAUGUCUUCUUCUUCUUCUUCU
Molecule: unclassified non-coding RNA, 225 nt
Filed under: Hevea brasiliensis (rubber tree)
Lineage: Eukaryota; Viridiplantae; Streptophyta; Magnoliopsida; Malpighiales; Euphorbiaceae
Source: RNAcentral